AGCGAACGUUAGCGGCGGGCCUAACACAUGCAAGUCGAGCGAGAAAGUGGCUUCGGCCACGAGUAAAGCGGCGGACGGGUGAGUAACACGUAGGUAAUCUUCCCUUGAGCGGGGGACAACGAGCCGAAAGGCUCGCUAAUACCGCAUACGUUUCCAGAGGCCCCGGGCUCUGGCAGGAAAGCUAGGCCGCAAGGUCUGGCACUCGACGAGGCGCCGGCGUCGCAUCAGCUAGUUGGUGGGGUAACGGCCUACCAAGGCGAAGACGCGUAGCUGGUCUGAGAGGAUGAUCAGCCACACUGGGACUGAGACACGGCCCAGACUCCUACGGGAGGCAGCAGUGGGGAAUAUUGGACAAUGGGCGCAAGCCUGAUCCAGCCACGCCGCGUGAGUGAUGAAGGCCUUCGGGUCGUAAAGCUCUGUGGGGAGGGACGAACCGCUGCACGUUCAUAGCGUGCAGCAUGACGGUACCUCCUUAGCAAGCACCGGCUAACUUCGUGCCAGCCGCCGCAGUAA
This 513-nucleotide ribosomal RNA is filed under the name uncultured bacterium. RNAcentral describes it as "partial 16S ribosomal RNA". It matches the Rfam family "Bacterial small subunit ribosomal RNA", at positions 29 to 523 of the family's 1533-position model. The record is from RNAcentral.